UUAAAAUCAAUGACGAGAAAGAGUAAGAUAUGACCCUGUUCCCCAGAGAAUCAGCGCUUGGUGAAAGCUGAUGUUCAGGCCUUAUCCGAAAAUCAUCUCUGAGAUGCAAAGCUGAUAAUGGAAGCUUUGACGGGUCGUCCGCCGUUACAAUGGAACACGUAUAAUCGUACGUUGACUGAGUGCCGCAAGCUUUUUUAUUUAGCUGCGGAAUUAGGGUGGUAACGCGAGCAAUAACUCGUCCCUGCU
This 246-nucleotide non-coding RNA is filed under the name Fictibacillus arsenicus. Its description in RNAcentral is "T-box sequence". It matches the Rfam family "T-box leader". From Rfam's summary of the family: Uncharged tRNA acts as the effector for transcription antitermination of genes in the T-box leader family. T-boxes are found upstream of many aminoacyl-tRNA synthetase genes and some amino acid biosynthetic genes usually in Gram-positive bacteria. Lineage: Bacteria; Bacillati; Bacillota; Bacilli; Caryophanales; Fictibacillaceae. The record is from RNAcentral.